GAAGUGGUCUGGAUGAGCGCGCCGAUUUCGAUCGGUGAGGAAAGUCCGAGCUCCGCAGGGCAGGGUGCUGGGUAACGCCCAGGGGGGGUGACCCCAUAGACAGUGCCACAGAAAACAAACCGCCUGCCCUCAGGGGCAGGUAAGGGUGAAAUGGUGAGGUAAGAGCUCACCGCGUCUUCGGCGACGGAGGCGGCACGGUAAACCUCACCCGGAGCAAGGCCAAAUAGGGGAGAAGAGGUGGCCCGCCUCGUUCGACUCCCGGGUAGGCUGCAGGAGGCGGCAGGUAACUGUCGUCCCAGAUGAAUGCUCGUCGUGUGCAUAGGAAUGGCUUGCUGUUCGUGUGCGCUGACAGAACUCGGCUUACAGGACCACUUCAGAC
RNAcentral lists this RNase P RNA (379 nucleotides) under Gemmatimonadota bacterium. Its description in RNAcentral is "Gemmatimonadetes bacterium RNase P RNA component class A". It matches the Rfam family "Bacterial RNase P class A". Rfam says of the family: Ribonuclease P (RNase P) is a ubiquitous endoribonuclease, found in archaea, bacteria and eukarya as well as chloroplasts and mitochondria. Its best characterised activity is the generation of mature 5'-ends of tRNAs by cleaving the 5'-leader elements of precursor-tRNAs. The record is from RNAcentral. Lineage: Bacteria; Pseudomonadati; Gemmatimonadota. RNAcentral also lists the same sequence under 1 other name.